GGAGAAUUUGGAUGAGGCUCCAUUGUGGUGUAGAAAUAAAAAUCGAAUGCGCCCGCGUAUCUGGGCAGAGGAAUUCAUUCGCUGACAUGGAGCGUUGAUGACUGCGAAUGGAGGGGGUGAUGAGAUGUUGACAGGAUCUGGUAGAUCAUAUGAUGAAACGUGGCGCGGUGUGCAGCGAGUUAAAGAUGUUCUUGCAUUUGGGAGGACGCGAGCGUUCCGUGUUGACGGAAG
RNAcentral lists this long non-coding RNA (231 nucleotides) under Populus trichocarpa (black cottonwood). Its description in RNAcentral is "long non-coding RNA (PTRI_LNC002616)". Lineage: Eukaryota; Viridiplantae; Streptophyta; Magnoliopsida; Malpighiales; Salicaceae. The record is from RNAcentral.